AACGAACGCUGGCGGCAUGCCUAACACAUGCAAGUCGAACGAGAUCCUUCGGGGUCUAGUGGCGCACGGGUGCGUAACGCGUGGGAAUCUGCCCUUAGGUUCGGAAUAACAGUUAGAAAUGACUGCUAAUACCGGAUGAUGACGUUAAGUCCAAAGAUUUAUCGCCUGAGGAUGAGCCCGCGUAGGAUUAGCUAGUUGGUGUGGUAAAGGCGCACCAAGGCGACGAUCCUUAGCUGGUCUGAGAGGAUGAUCAGCCACACUGGGACUGAGACACGGCCCAGACUCCUACGGGAGGAAGCAGUGGGGAAUAUUGGACAAUGGGCGCAAGCCUGAUCCAGCAAUGCCGCGUGAGUGAUGAAGGCCUUAGGGUUGUAAAGCUCUUUUACCCGAGAUGAUAAUGACAGUAUCGGGAGAAUAAGCCCCGGCUAACUCCGUG
Molecule: ribosomal RNA, 436 nt
Filed under: uncultured bacterium
Lineage: Bacteria
Description: partial 16S ribosomal RNA
Rfam family: Bacterial small subunit ribosomal RNA
Source: RNAcentral